Molecule: unclassified non-coding RNA, 240 nt
Filed under: soil metagenome
Description: partial contains 5.8S ribosomal RNA, internal transcribed spacer 2, and large subunit ribosomal RNA
Source: RNAcentral
AAGACUAUAGACCUGCGGAGUACCUGCGGAAGGAUCAUUAACGUAUCUAUGAUGGGGUGCGGAGCGCCCUGCUCCGGUCGAACGGCCGUGCAGCGGGUGCGCCGCCCCCGUCCCACCUCCCAAACCCACUGUGAACAUUCACCGGUGGAGGGGGCUCGGUCUGCGCCGUGUCCCCGAUGCCGAAUACCCAAACUCCAGUUGCAAAGAACGUCGUGCGGACUCGGUGCCGCCUAAAACAUG